UUUAUAGAGAGUUUGAUCCUGGCUCAGGGUGAACGCUGGCGGCGUGUUUUAGGCAUGCAAGUCGUACAUUCUUCGUGAGUGUGGCAGACGGGUGAGUAACGCAUUGGUAAUCCAACUUGAGGUUUGGCAUAACCCUUCGAAAGGGGGGAUAAUUCCAAAUGGUCAUGGGGGGUCUAAAGACUUCCCAUGUAAAGCUUCGGCGCCUCGAGAGGAGCCUGUGUCCCAUCAGCUUGUUGGUAGGGUAAUGGCCUACCAAGGCUAUGACGGGUAACUGGUCUGAGAGGAUGAUCAGUCACAUCGGAACUGAGACACUGUCCGAACUCCUACGGGAGGCUGCAGUCAAGAAUCUUCCGCAAUGGGGGAAACCCUGACGGAGCGACGCCGCGUGACCGAUGAAGCCCUUCGGGGUGUAAAGGUCUUUUAAUAGGGAAAAAGUCUAGCCCUUUCUGUCUUUUAUCAACUUUUUGUGUACAGUAAAUAGGACAUAAAAAGUGAAGAUAGAAAGUGCACAGUCUUUUGGGCUAGAAGCCAGAAAGGGCUAGAUUGAUGGUACCUAUUGAAUAAGCCACGGCUAAUCUCGUGCCAGCAGCCGCGGUAAUACGAGAGUGGCAAGCGUUACCCGGAAUCAUUGGGCGUAAAGGGUCCGUAGGUGGUUUGAACAGUCGGUUGUUAAAUCUUAGGGCUCAACCUUAAGGCCGUAACCGAAACUAUCAGACUAGAGAUAAGGAGAGGCGAGUGGAAUUCUCGGUGUAGCAGUAAAAUGCGUUAAUAUCGAGAGGAACACCAAAGGCGAAGGCAGCUCGCUAGCCUUAUUCUGACACUCAUGGACGAAAGCGUGGGGAGCGAAUGGGAUUAGAUACCCCAGUAGUCCACGCCGUAAACGCUGGAUACUAGGCACAAGAGGAGUCGACCCCUUUUGUGUCAAAGCUAACGCGUUAAGUAUCCCGCCUGGGGAGUACGGUCGCAAGACUAAAACUCAAAGGAAUAGACGGGGACCCGCACAAGCGGUGGAGCAUGUGGUUUAAUUCGUCAUUAAGCGAAGAACCUUACCGAGGUUUGAAGCCAAAGGAAUCCGCCUGAAAGGGAUGGAGUGCCGCAAGGAGCCUUUGGAUCAGGUGCUGCAUGGCCGUCGUCAGCUCGUGCCGUGAGGUGUACGGUUAAGUCCGGUAACGAGCGCAACCCUUAUUCUGUGUUACAAUUUCACACAGAAGACUGCCGGCGUAUAGUCGGAGGAAGGUGGGGAUGACGUCAGGUCAGCAUGGCCCUUUGACACCUCGGGCCACACACGUGCUACAAUGGCUAGUAACAAUGAGUCGCGAAACCGUAAGGUGAAGCUAAUCUCAUCAAACCUAGUCUCAGUUCGGAUUGAGGGCUGCAACUCGCCCUCAUGAAGUCGGAAUCGCUAGUAACCGUGGGUCAGCCAUACCACGGUGAAUACGUUCUCGGGUCUUGUACUCACCGCCCGUCACGUCAAGCGAGUUGGUAACACCCGAAACUCCCUUAGGGGAACUAAGGUGGGACCAGCGAGAGGGGCGAAGUCGUAACAAGGCACCGGUAGGGGAACCUGUCGGUGGAUCACCUCCUUU
RNAcentral lists this ribosomal RNA (1586 nucleotides) under Patescibacteria group bacterium. RNAcentral describes it as "bacterial SSU rRNA". It matches the Rfam family "Bacterial small subunit ribosomal RNA". The record is from RNAcentral.